RNAcentral lists this ribosomal RNA (460 nucleotides) under uncultured bacterium. RNAcentral's name for it is "partial 16S ribosomal RNA". It matches the Rfam family "Bacterial small subunit ribosomal RNA", at positions 338 to 795 of the family's 1533-position model. The record is from RNAcentral.
CCUACGGGCGGCAGCAGUGAGGAAUAUUGGUCAAUGGGCGAGAGCCUGAACCAGCCAAGUCGCGUGAAGGAUGACGGCCCUACGGGUUGUAAACUUCUUUUGUCAGGGAGCAAUUGGGUCCACGCGUGGGCUUAUCGAGAGUACCUGAAGAAAAAGCAUCGGCUAACUCCGUGCCAGCCGCCGCGGUAAUACGGAGGAUGCGAGCGUUCUCCGGAUUUAUUGGGUUUAAAGGGUUCGUAGGCGGAAUAUCAAGUCAGCGGUAAAAUGUCCGGGCUCAACCCGGGCCGGCCGUUGAAACUGGGGAUCUGGAGUGGGCGAGAAGUAUGCGGAAGGCGUGGUGUAGCGGUGAAAUGCAUAGAUAUCACGCAGAACUCCGAUUGCGAAGGCAGCAUACCGGCGCCCGACUGACGCUGAGGCACGAAAGCGUGGGGAUCGAACAGGAUUAGAUACCCUAGUAGUC